Molecule: non-coding RNA, 92 nt
Organism: Mycena vulgaris
Lineage: Eukaryota; Fungi; Basidiomycota; Agaricomycetes; Agaricales; Mycenaceae
Source: the annotation of a GenBank genome assembly
GCGGACGUAGUGCACGGCGCACCACUGCCUUCAAUAGUGAAGCACGUAGCAGGAUGCAAGCAGUUGACGAGGUUCGACUCCCCGCGUCCGCC